GAAAUGCGAUAAGUAAUGUGAAUUGCAGAAUUCAGUGAAUCAUCGAGUCUUUGAACGCACAUUGCGCCCCCUGGUAUUCCGGGGGGCAUGUCUGUCCGAGCGUCAUUGCUGCCCUCAAGCACGGCUUGUGUGUUGGGCCCCGUCCCCUCCCCCGGGGACGGGCCCGAAAGGCAGCGGCGGCACCGCGUCCGAUCCUCGAGCGUAUGGGGCUUUGUCACCCGCUCUGUAGGCCCGGCCGGCGCCAGCCGACACCCAACUUUUAUUUCUAAGGUUGACCUCGGAUCAGGUAGGGAUACCCGCUGAACUUAAGC
RNAcentral lists this unclassified non-coding RNA (311 nucleotides) under plant metagenome. RNAcentral describes it as "partial contains 5.8S ribosomal RNA, internal transcribed spacer 2, and large subunit ribosomal RNA". The stretch from base 1 to 105 matches the Rfam family "5.8S ribosomal RNA", at positions 50 to 154 of the family's 154-position model. The record is from RNAcentral.